GAUGAACGCUGGCGGCGUGCCUAAUACAUGCAAGUCGAGCGAACGGACGAGAAGCUUGCUUCUCUGUAGUUAGCGGCGGAAGGGUGAGUAACACGUGGCAAACCCACCUAUAAGACUGGGACAACUUCGGGAAACCGUAGCUAAUACCGGAUAAUAUUUUGAACCGCAUGGUUAAAAAGUGAAAGACGGUCUUGCUGUCACAUACAGACGGAUCCGCGCUGCAUUAGCUAGUUGGUAAGGUAACGGCUUACCAAGGCAACGAUGCAUAGCCGACCUGAGAUGGUGAUCGGCCACACUGGAACUGAGACACGGUCCAGACUCCUACGGGAGGCAGCAGUAGGGAAUCUUCCGCAAUGGGCGAAAGCCUGACGGUGCACCGCCGCGUGAGUGAUGAAGGUCUUCGGAUCGUAAAACUCUGUUAUUCGGGCAGAACAUAUGUGUAAGUAACUGUGCACAUCUUGACGGUACCUAAUCAGAAAGCCACGGCUAACUACUUG
This 497-nucleotide ribosomal RNA is filed under the name uncultured bacterium. RNAcentral describes it as "partial 16S ribosomal RNA". It matches the Rfam family "Bacterial small subunit ribosomal RNA", at positions 28 to 507 of the family's 1533-position model. The record is from RNAcentral.